UAACUGAAGAGUUUGAUCAUGGCUCAGAUUGAACGCUGGCGGCAGGCUUAACACAUGCAAGUCGAGCGGGGGAAGGUAGCUUGCUACUGGACCUAGCGGCGGACGGGUGAGUAAUGCUUAGGAAUCUGCCUAUUAGUGGGGGACAACAUCUCGAAAGGGAUGCUAAUACCGCAUACGUCCUACGGGAGAAAGCAGGGGAUCUUCGGACCUUGCGCUAAUAGAUGAGCCUAAGUCGGAUUAGCUAGUUGGUGGGGUAAAGGCCUACCAAGGCGACGAUCUGUAGCGGGUCUGAGAGGAUGAUCCGCCACACUGGGACUGAGACACGGCCCAGACUCCUACGGGAGGCAGCAGUGGGGAAUAUUGGACAAUGGGGGGAACCCUGAUCCAGCCAUGCCGCGUGUGUGAAGAAGGCCUUAUGGUUGUAAAGCACUUUAAGCGAGGAGGAGGCUACUUUAGUUAAUACCUAGAGAUAGUGGACGUUACUCGCAGAAUAAGCACCGGCUAACUCUGUGCCAGCAGCCGCGGUAAUACAGAGGGUGCGAGCGUUAAUCGGAUUUACUGGGCGUAAAGCGUGCGUAGGCGGCUUAUUAAGUCGGAUGUGAAAU
Molecule: ribosomal RNA, 605 nt
Filed under: Acinetobacter baumannii
Lineage: Bacteria; Pseudomonadati; Pseudomonadota; Gammaproteobacteria; Moraxellales; Moraxellaceae
Description: bacterial SSU rRNA
Rfam family: Bacterial small subunit ribosomal RNA
Source: RNAcentral